AACAGCCUACGGGACGCAGCAGUGGGGAAUAUUGGACAAUGGGGGAAACCCUGAUCCAGCGACGCCGCGUGAGUGAAGAAGUAUUUCGGUAUGUAAAGCUCUAUCAGCAGGGAAGGAAAUGACGGUACCUGACUAAGAAGCCCCGGCUAACUACGUGCCAGCAGCCGCGGUAAUACGUAGGGGGCAAGCGUUAUCCGGAUUUACUGGGUGUAAAGGGAGCGUAGGUGGCAGGGCAAGUCAGAUGUGAAAACCCGGGGCUCAACUCCGGGAGUGCAUUUGAAACUGUCCAGCUAGAGUGCAGGAGG
Molecule: ribosomal RNA, 305 nt
Filed under: uncultured bacterium
Lineage: Bacteria
Description: bacterial SSU rRNA
Rfam family: Bacterial small subunit ribosomal RNA
Source: RNAcentral